This is a small nucleolar RNA of Gossypium arboreum, 107 nucleotides long. It matches the Rfam family "Plant small nucleolar RNA R71". From Rfam's summary of the family: R71 is a member of the C/D box family of snoRNAs containing the C (UGAUGA) and D (CUGA) box motifs. Multiple nearly identical copies of this snoRNA have been identified in Arabidopsis, and it is thought to function as a 2'-O-ribose methylation guide for 18S ribosomal RNA. The record is from Rfam. NCBI's taxonomy places the organism in Eukaryota, Viridiplantae, Streptophyta, Magnoliopsida, Malvales, Malvaceae.
AACCAAUGGUGAGGGCAUUGCCCCAAUAAGUUCCUAUACCUUUCCCAUGCAUCAUAUAAGGUUUCUAAGUCAAUCUGAACAAAGGAAAAGAUAUCAUUCCUCAACUU